CUCUCUCUCUCUCUCUUUCUCUCUCUUUCUCUUUCUCUCUGUUUUUUUAAGUCUCCAUAUUCUUCAGCCUAGGCUUGAACUUCUGAUUUUCCUGUCUCAAAUUCCUACAGUAUGGCAAUUGCAGUUGUGCAUAACUAUGCCAGUUUCAAAGGGUGAUUUUAACAAGCACUGUUUACUCUAGAUGACUUACAAGAGGGUGUGUGUGUGUGUGCUGUUUUGUUUGGUUUAAUGUAAUUUAUCAUUUUAUGUCUUUGUUUUUUUGGUAGCAUGGAUCAAACUAGCAACCUUGCAUUUUCUAGACAGGUGCUGAAGUUGCUGAGCAAAGUCCUCAGCCUAAAGCAAAGACUUCUGUGGUUCUCAUUACUUUGAGGAUGUCAUCUGAAAUAAGUAAACAAUUUAAAGGGGUGUUUGCAAUUACUAGUAGUAUUUUCCUUAACCCCCAGCUUCCCAAACAAUGAUUGUUUACCCUAUCCCCUCCUGCAUAGCAGCUAACUGCUUUGUGAAUGUCUCCUCCUGGGCCAACAGUAAACUGGGAGGGUUGCAGGUUGUUCUUGACUGAAUUGUCCAUUGAGACAACUUCAUCCUAUUUGAUCAUUGUUACCAAGUGCCUGCAAGGACUGUCAUACCUCAGACACAGUGAACAAACCAAACCGCCCUUUGACCUGAUUCAUGGUACUGAUGACUAACUAAAGCCCAAAUCCCUGGUGACUACAUCUUUUGAGAGGAGACUAAGUUUCAUUCUUCUUCCCUGGCAUCAUUUCCUAAACCCUGUGAUGACAUUUGCCUCACUUCCAUCCCGCCCCUGUUCCCCACAAGUCACUGAGCAUCUCAGCUGUCCUGACCUGGACUGGAACAUUGUUCUCCAAGCAACAGAUGUGCAGUUCCCCAGCUUGCUGCUCUGACCACCAUCUGAUGGUCAUCAUUAUCGGGCUCAAAGUCCAGGGCAGUAGCAUCUCUUGGCUUCACUUUCACACAUGGCAACCAUGUAACUGGGAAUGUGGCCUCCCUUACUCCCUGAGCAUGAGGGGAGUUACUUGAACUGGUACUGUGGCAUAGCAAGCUGAAGCACAAGAUCAGUGCCAGGUAGCAUGGAAAAAUCCAGGCCCCUCUGUGUGGCACCAUGUGGGAGCUGAGCACCAUGAAGGUGAGCACAAAACAAGGGCAGGAGCAGGUGCUGUGGAAGCCACAGAGGUAGGCAGCCCUUCUCUGAUGUGUGGGCCCCAGUGCCUGUGAGGGCAUCAGGAUUGAACAAGAGAGCUCCUGGCCUGCUGUUGCUGGGUCAGGGUGGCAGUGGACACUGGCUCUGUCUGAUAGUGAAUUUGCACAACACAGAUUGUAUGACUGCCUGACUUUGUCUACCCAGGUCCUUCCUGUUCCACCACAGUCUUCUCUGAACCUUUCAGUGGAGCUACAAGAGGAGAAACUGCAUGUGUAGCUGCCCAAAAUAUAGCUGGUGCAGCUUGGUGUUAUCAGCCAAAAGCUUCCAUUCUCUCUUUCCCCAGGUAUCCCUCCCUCCUCCUCUUAUACUCCCUUCUCUCAAGAGAACACAUCUGGGCUUGUGCUAGCCCUGGCUGGACUGGGAGCUGUUCUUCAUUCCCCCAGACACUUUUGACAAAGAGAGAAUCCAGUACCCACAGGUAUGGAUGAUUUGUUGUCACCCACAACAAACUAGAACCAAAAUGUGUUGUCCUUGAUUCACAAUGUGGGACUGAGGCUACCAGGAACUCUAUUCUUGGCUUUAAGCUCUAGAGUUCUCCUCAGGACAUGGUGGUCAGAACUGGGGGAUCAAGAUCAAUCUGAUUGUAGAGCAAUGCAGGACCUGACAUAAGCUUUGGGUCCCUGUGUGAUGCAUAUAUUCUUGGUUAUGUCAGGAGACAAAUGCAGAAGCUCCUGUCUGGCAGAAUCCAGGUAGACACAGUAACUUUGAAAUGACUCAUGUGAUAUGGGCAGAAUUGUAUCAGCUCAGGGAACAAAGGCUGGGUGCACCAGACCAUGAAGUGGGUCCCUCAGAUCUGUACUACAUUUUGGAAUAAAGACAAAUAAGUGUGCCCCAGCCCAAAUGUGUCUGCAUCUAAAUUCCUGCCACCUGAGUUCAUGCAUUUUGGUCCUGUCCUAAGAGCAAUGGAUGGUAUUAGAAGGUGUGGUAGUGUGGUCAGCCUUCUAAUGGCAUAGCUCUGGGCCCCUCAGGACCUGGACAGCCCUGGAUAGGGGACAGGCCCAAGGCUCACUUAUGUACAACGUGAUGCUGUCCCAUUGACCAGCCUCAGGUUAUGGCCACCAUCAGCUCUUCUUUUGUAUUGGCCACCUAGUUGCCAGGCUUCCAUUGUGUUCUCUCUGUUCUUGCUCACUGUCUCCUGAAUCACAGCAGAAUUGAUUUCCCAAGUCCAGCUGCAAACUGUAGGCCAGUGUGCUGGUGUGAGGCAAGCACCUGUACCAUCAGCAAUAGGGCUGCUGUGUUGUGAAAAGCUGUGGAGUGUGGCAAGAACCCUAUGUGUUUUGAUCCCCACCACAUGGAUGCUGGUGUCAUGAUGUACAGAGCAAGAUUCCUGCCACUCAGAUGUCACUUUUUACUAUAACUUUCCUUCCCAUGAUCAGUUACUCAAAAGUUGUGUGUCAGAUAAAUAUAUGUUGAAGGCCCUGCUAAGCAUCUCCACCCAGACUGCCUGGCAGCAGCUUAACCUUCAAAGCUAGGUGGGAGAGACAGUGAGGGAGAUGGAGGAGGACAAGGGGUUUUGACCUCCAAACAGCAGCUACAGAGGGGCAGGGGAACCUUCAGCUCUCACUGUUACACCCACUUCUGAGGUUGUAUCCUGUGGUCAGAGAAGAGACAGCAGUUUUGAUAACUUUGCUAGAAAUCAGAGAUCUGAACAGAGAUACAAAGGCAGGACAUUAGAGCCAGACUGAGGGCUCCUCCAGAGGAUUUGCCUGCUUUUCAUUUUCGCUUUCUGUUCCAUGACUUAGUCAUCACCAGAUAUUGGUGGUGUGGAUUCACUUGUCUCCCCAAGAGUGAGCUGCUUCUGGGGAUGUGGGGCAGUCAGCACACAGUGAGAUCUCCAUGUGUCUCUGUUAGUUUGUGUAUAGAGCAAAGUAUAAAAGUGCAUGUUCCUAUGAUAGGAAGAUUGGUCCCAGAAACUCCAUUAGUAAGGUCUUAACUUGAGGACAGUUGAUGCUUCGUCCUUGCCUUCAUCUGCCUUAAGGACCCCUUACUUGAAGCCUGGAGGGUGUCCUUCAUGUGUGAGAUUUAUCACUAUUUGUUCUUUUUUUCUCCACAAGUAAGAAGUGGAUUUUUUCUGUUUAUUUUGUUUUUUAUGAUACAUUUUUUACUAGAACUUCUUUGCAGUGUACAUUGAUUACACUGAUGAUAGACACACGGUUUGUUUAUUAUGCAGAAUGCAUAUUAGAUCCUAUGUGAUGCAUGAUAGUGAAACCCAUCAACUAGAGACUGUUCUCUAAAUUUUUACAUUGAUCACCCAGAAUUGAAAAAAAAAGUGGAAAAGUUUACAGAGAAAAUCUUUCAGAUACAAAAAAAAAAAAUACUUUAAGUCAAAUGUAUUAGAGAACAAGCAAAUAGAAGAAUAGAUGAACAUAGGAAAACAAUGAAAAACAAAGGUUGCCCAACAUAGGGAAGAAAUGGAAUACAUGAAAGAGAUCCAAACAAGAGUUCAACAAGUUCAAUGCUAUAUAUGAUUUAUAUAAAACCUAUAAGAGAUUAAAAUUAUAUGCACAGACUGAACAAAAGAGAGGUUUGGAAUUUCAGAUCUUGAAGACAAAAUUGUAGCUAGUUGUCAUGAAAACAGUGCUAUCUUAAAAGUAGCAAGAGACUAUGAGAAAUCAAUCCAGCAGGUACAAAAUGCAUCAAAGAAGAAUUGCAUGACAUUGAUUGGGGUCAAUGAGAAAGCCAGAGACAACACAAAUACCAUAAAAAAACUUCACAAAAUAAUGGAAGAAAACUUCCCAGGCAUGAAUAAAGAAUUUUUCAUACAAAUAACUGAAGCAUAUAGAAAUCCAAACAGACAUAACCAAAAUAAAACUACACCAAGAUAUAUAAUAUUCAAGAUACCAGAAAUACAGCACAAGGACACAUUAUAAAAUGCGGUUAUGGAGAAGUCACAGAUCACUUAUAAUUGAAAGCACAUCAAAUUCUUAGCACUCUUUAUUGUAGCUUGGCAUAACUUACAUCAUCUAGACCCUGCUUUUAACUGGUGCCAUAUAUUUAAACCAAGAGAAUGGAAAAUGACUCAGAGUACAAGUCCUGUGAGAAAAGCAGAAUAAGCUUUACCACCUGGACAAAAAUUACCAUGCUCAAUGAAAGAAACAUGAUACAGGUGUCAACUAAAAAUUAAUGUAAGAUUCUAGCUCAAUUGUUUCCAAUAGAAUGUCACUUUGUGGUUCUCUGUUUAAAAGAUUUGUAAGUUUCCAGAUUAGGCACUCAUUUGGACUCUGAAAUUGGCAGGUAAUUUAUAUGAGUGGUCCUGAGUUCUAUUAAUCAAAUUCCAAAUUUAUCAAUUUGUAUGCUUUGAUUCCUUUAUUUUUGUUGAUGAACCUACCUCAGGCUUCUCAACACAAAUAUCCAAGUAAAGAAGAAAGCUGUAGUUGAAACAGAAGAACAAGUCCUGAAAGUUGGAUAGAAGUACAAGUCCUGAAAGGAAAGAACAUCCAAUCCAGAUUGAUGUAUCCUACAAAACUUUCAAAAUUAAUGGAAACAUAAGAUACUUCUAUGAGAAAGAACAACUGAAGAAAUAUAUGACUGCAAAACUGACCCUAUAAAAAGUAACGAAUGUUAUAUUAGAGAGAGGAAAAAAUGGUCACAAUUCCAAGAAAAACACAGAAAUAACCAGGCAGGACAAGUAAUUAAACAGAGGAAAAAAAGCAGAAAACCAACAGCAGAACAAUAUUUCAACAAAGACAAACCAAUAUGUACCAUUGUUAAUGGUCGCAUCAAUCAAAAGAAAUAGAUGGGUGAAAUGGAUCAAGAAACAAUAUACAAAAAUAAGCUGUAUACAGAAAACAUGUUUAAUUCAAAAAGAAAUUCAGAGACUGAAAGUCAAAGGACAGAAAGCAAUUUUCCAUGCAACUGAGUCCCAGAAAAAAGCAUGAGUAGCUAUGCUCUUUGCAGACAAUGUGAACUUCAAACCAAGAAGGACCAAAAAGAUAAAGAGCCUCACUACAUACAUGUUAAUGCAAAGGUUUUUAAAAAAUAAGAUAGCAAUGAUAAAUAUGUGUACAUCUAAUACAUGACCACCCAACAUUAUAAGGCAGUUUUAAAAAGUCUAGGUCUUCAUGGAUUUACUGCUGAAAAUAAUGCAACAAAGAAUAACACAAUUGACCCAAGAGACUUCAACAUCCCACUAUCACAAAUAGAUGAACUAGACUAAUAAUCAGCAACGAAACAUGAAAGUUGAACCGAAUCUAUAAACAAAUUAACUGAAUCGAUGUUUACCAAGUAUGUGACCCAACAUAUUCAGAAUAACCAUUCUUCUCAGCCCUGCAAGGGAGGUUCUCUAAAACAGGCCACGUAAACUAGUCCACAGAACAUGCUGAAGUAAAUGUAAAGAAAAACUGAAGUUACCCCAUACAUUUUACAAAUAACUGAAGCAUAUAGAAAUCCAAACAGACAUAACCAAAAUAAAACUACAUGCUGAGCAUAGUGCAAUACAAUUGGGUGAUAAUUGUAAAAGAAGUUGCAAAAACUUCAUAAAUAUAUGGAAAUUAAGUAACACUGCCAAACAAUCAAUGGGUCACAGAUGAAAUAAAGGAAGAAACUUGAAAAUAUCUACAACACAACAAGAAUACAGAUGCAAACCUUGGUUCUCAUGGGAUUCUAAUGAAAGCAGUUCAAAGAGGGAAAUUUAUAGUACUCAAAUCUCACAUCAGGAAAUAGAAAGAGCAUAAAUAAAGAUCUACUGUUUUACCUCACACUUCCAGAAUAAAAAUGGCAUGACAAACCCAAAGCCAAUGAAAGUGAGGAAAAUAUAAUGAUCAGAGAGGAAAGUAAUGAAGUGCAGAACAUAAAACAAUAAAAAUAUUUAAUGAAUCAAAGAGUUGGUUCAUUGAAAGAAUAAACAAAAUUGAUAAGCCUUAGCCAAUCAUAUCAAAAGAAGAAAAGAACACUCAAAACCAUUCAUUGAGGAAUGAAAACAGAAAGAUAAUUACAGAUCGUGUGAAAAUUAAGAAGAUCAUCAGUAUCUACUUCCAAAACUUAUGCUUCCCUAGGUUGGAUAAUAUAGCAAUGAAUCGAUUCCUAGAUACAUAUGAAUUGCCAAAGCUGACUCAAGAAGAUAUAAAAAUUCUACAUAAUGCAGUAUCUGUUAAUGAGACUGAAGAUCUAGUUAAAUUUUAUUGGGUACUAGCUGGGUGGUGCAUGCCUUUAACCCCAGAACUUGGGAGGCUGAGGCAGAAGCAUUGUUGUGAGUUUGAAACUAAACAGGGCUACAAUGUGAGCUCAAGGCCACUCGAGGGCAUAAUAAGACCCUCUGCAAAACACAUUAAAAUGAAGCAAAACAAUGACAAGAAAAAGGCAAUUGACCAACAUAUAAAAGUCUAGGUCUUCAUGGAUUUACUGCUAAAUUUUACAAGAAAUGUAUAGAAAACUGAUGGCCCCUACUCUUUAAUGAAUUUGAAAGAGAAGCAGUUCUCCCUAUCUCUUUCCUGGGGGCCAGGAUUAUACUGAUACUAAUACCAGAGAAAGACACAACCAGAAAAAGAAAACUAUAGGCAAGUUUUCCUAAUGAACAUAGGUACAAAAAUCCUUAAUAAGAUACUAGCAAAGUGAAUGUAGCAAAUCAUCAAGAAGAUUUUAAAACCUGAUCAACUUGGAUUCAUCCCAGGAAGGCAGGGAUGUUUCAGUAUAUGCAAAUCAAUAAAUGUAAAUGUCCUAUCAGCACAGGCAAAAACAAAAGUCACAUGGUGAUCAUCUCAAUAAAUGUACAAUAAGCUUUUGAUAAAAUUGAGCACUGAUUUGUAAUAAAAUCCUGCAGUAUGUAACAAUAGAGAGCCUUUACCUCAACCUGAUAAAACAAGCAAAGACAAAAUAUACCCAGCAUCAUACUAAAUGGUAAAAAACUAAAAACUUUUGCAUUACAAUUAAGAACAACAAAAGCAUGGUUACUAUCACCCCUCCUAUUCAAUAAAGAUCUGGAAACAUUAUGUAGAACAAUUAGACAUAAGAGACAAAUAAGAAUAAUCACAUAACAGAAAGUAAGUAAAGUAUCAUUAUUCACAAAUGACAUGAUAUUCUAUGUAGAAGAUGUUAAUUACUCCACCAAAAGACUUCUACACUUAACCGAGUUCAAUAAUGUAGCUGAAGACAAAGUUGACAAUCAAAAAUCAAGAGCAUUCCUGUACACAAUCAACUCACUCAGAGAAGUUACAGAAACCACACCCUUUACAAUAGCCUCCAACAAAAUGAGAUACUUAUAAUAACCUAACAAAGAAUGUCAAGGACUUACAUAUUGAAAAUACAGUACUUUAUAAAAGGAUACUGAAGAGAUUAUCAGAAAAUGGAAAGAUAUCCCUUGCCCAAACUGUAUGUGCAUUGUUUUUUCAAUGUUCAUGAUUUCUUUUGAUGUACAAAUAUUAUUUAAUAAGAUGGGGCCCCAGUGGUUGAUUCUUUGAAGUUGAUUAUUCAAAAUUUGUGUUUUGUUCAUGAAGCCUCAUUAGUGUUUCUGUUGUAAUACUUAGGUCUCCAAGCUGAUUUGACUUUUGUCUACUUCAUGGUGAUAGGCAUGGACCCAGUUUAACUCUUCAGUAUGGGGAAAGUCAAUUUCUUCAGCAUUAUUGAAGAGACUAUCUCUCUUCCAGUGAACAUAUUUGGCUCCUUUAUCAAAGACAAGACUGUCUUUGUAGUUGUCUCCAUCUUCUAGUCUCUUUGGUAGAUUAUCAGGUCUGUUUUUCUGCCGGUACUCUGGUGAUUUUGUGACAGUAGUUUUCUAGUAUUAUAAGUGAAGAAUUGUGUUGCCUCCUGACUUGCCUUUGUUGCCCAGGAAUGUCUUUAGUAUUCUAGAUCUUCUCUGUUUCCAAAUGAAUUUAGAAAAAUUUUCUCUGUAUUUGUGAGCUAAACUAAUAGUAUUUCUAUGGGCAUUGCAUUAAAUCUGUAUAAGAGGUUGCAAUAUGAUUUUUUUGUUUUAGUUUUCCAUAUCCUUAAAGGUAGUCUUACUUGUUUUUAUAGUCACCCGAUGUAUCCUAAAAGGUAUGAUCCUAAGACUUUCAAACUAUGGAGUUCUUCUUCUCAAGGAUAUCAACAAUAAUAGAUUUUUUUUGUUUGAGACAGGGUUUCCAUAUGCAGUUCAGGCUGACUCUGGACUCACACCUUAGUCCAGUAAAUUCACAGUGAUUAUCUUACCUCAGCAUUCCAAGUCCUGGGAUUACAGGUGUGCACCUAACACCUGAAAGAAUUCCUAGUGUUAUUUGAAAGAUGAGGAAACAGUCAUGAGAUACACAUGCACUCAUUAACUGUCAUUUACUUAAAGGAAAAAUGUCCAAAUUAACACAUAAUUCCACUGGAGUGUAGGGAAUCAAAAGAUGUGUUUCUAUCUCUUAUGGGGAUAACAGACUACACUACUGCAAAAAUGGGAGACAUCACAGCUAGGAAUAUGUAUCAAAUUUGAGCACCAAUAUUAUGAACUCAGAGAGUAUUUAUGGAAAAUGAGGAAAAAGACCAGUGGAAAAUAAUGAGAGACCUGGUGACUUUAGCCUUUCAUGACUCUAGAUCAGGCUUUAUUAUAAUGUUGAGCCUCACAAAUAUUGGAAUAGUCAAAUAUUAUGUGCAUUUUUACCUAGAAAAUAUUAAUGCUUGGCACUGUAUCCUAGAUAUGUUGUAGCUUGGCAUAAAUCAUGCCAUCUUGAGCCCUACAUUUAACUAGUGCCUUGUAUUUGACCCAGGAAAAUGGAAAAUGACUCAGUGUAUAAGUCCAAUGAGAAAAAGCAAAAUGAGCUGUAGCCAAAGAAAAAAAUUUAACCUGCUCAACAAAAAACAAAACAAAACAGGAUACAGGUGUCAGCCAAAAAUUAACAUAAGAUUCUAGCCACAUUGUUUCCAAUAGAAUGUUCUUUGUGAUUGUCUCUUUUAAAAACUCUUAACUUUCAAGUCCAGGACCACUCGUUUAGAUUUUGAAAUGGGGGAGGUGAGUCUGUAUAGAAGUGGUUCUGAGCACAGCAAUUUAAAUUCCAAAUUUAUUCUUUGGCUGCUUGGAUUCCUAUAUUGUUGUUUGCAAAUGGGAUCUCAAGCUCCACAAAGGUUUACUGACACAAGCAAGUACCUGGAUUAAAUACAGUGUCACCUUAAUGAAAGAAUAAUAGUGAAAAGGAGGGAAGAAAAAAGACAAACACCAUGUGUUAUGUUACCCACAUCUUUAUCCAGCAUUUAAGAGGCUGAAACAGGAAAAAGACCAUGUAUUCAAGGACAGACUAUCUUACAUAGUGAGUUCAAUGUCAGCCAGAACUAAAAGUGGGACUAUGUGUUAAAAAACAAAAAACAAAAAUGAAAAAUAUAAAAAACCGAGGAACAGAGAAAGACUAUUAAAAGAAAACAAUAAUAGUAGAGCUGAAUGAAAGUUGACUUAACUAAAAUGGGAAUUAUGGAAUGUUGUGGUAGAGGAAAUCUGGUCAUGAAGUUGCACCCAGGAGGCAGUGAAAAAUAUAGUUAUGAAUGGGACCUUUUGUGCUACAUCACGAUAGUGACCUCCUUCCUCCAAUGCAUCUUCAAUUUACUAGACACGAGGUCCAAAAGUUCAUGGAAAUGUCAAACUCAGAGCAAACAAGCAGCUUGAAAUCAAGGCUUUGGAUCAUGGCCUUUAGCAGAUGUUUCAUAUUCAAAUUGAAAUAGGAGAAAUAUAAUCCUUCCCUGUUUGAUGGCAAAUGCAGGAAGUUGGUUGGCUCACAACAUUGAAGAAUGAAGUCACAAAUCAAAAGAAGUUCAAAAAGUUUUCUUAGAAAAAAAGACAGAAUAGCACUAACUUUGCAGGAGUGGUCUUCAGUGUUUAGGCCACAGAUCUAUUGUCACGGGGCAUUUAUAGAGCCAAGUGAGAAUGUGAGUACAGAGUGGGUCUCAAACUACAAUCAACCUAUAAGCUUAUAGGUGCUUAACUAAUAUUAUUCAGAAGGGUAGCAAGGCACCCAGAAAAGGUAUGCAGAAAGAGCCAAGGUAUUUUGUGGGAAUAAAAGUACAGUUUUUCUGGUCAUUGAGUAUGGUAAUAGAUGCCUAUCUGGACUUCCUGGGGAAGGUGGUGGUAACUGUUGUACAUUUCAAGCUAUUGUUUAUUAUAGCCUAGCUCUAACCAUUGCACCUUAUUUCUGUUCUGUUUGCACCGCACUGCCUCCCCUUUCCUCAUUCCCCCUUCCCCCUUGCUGUCUGUCUAGGUUAAGUUUCAAUUUCCUGAAAGGCCAUAAAAGCCUUAGGUUUCAGUUUCUUGUAACUCCCUUCCCUACCCAGUGGUCUAUAAUAAAAUGUGUUGUUCUUUAGAAAA
Molecule: long non-coding RNA, 10463 nt
Organism: Cavia porcellus (domestic guinea pig)
Lineage: Eukaryota; Metazoa; Chordata; Mammalia; Rodentia; Caviidae
Exons: 2
Source: RefSeq, a predicted model, not a curated record